CCUACGGGAGGCAGCAGUAGGGAAUAUUGCUCAAUGGGGGAAACCCUGAAGCAGCAACGCCGCGUGGAGGAUGAAGGUUUUCGGAUUGUAAACUCCUUUUGUUAGAGAAGAGAAUGACGGUAGCUAACGAAUAAGCACCGGCUAACUCCGUGCCAGCAGCCGCGGUAAUACGGAGGGUGCAAGCGUUACUCGGAAUCACGGGGCGUCAAGAGCGCGUAGGCGGGAUAGCACGUCAGAUGUGAAAUCCUAGGGCUUAACCAUAGAACGGCAUUUGAAACUGUUAUUCUAGAGUAUGGGAGAGGUAGGUGGAAUUCUUGGUGUAGUGGUCCAAUCCGU
Molecule: ribosomal RNA, 336 nt
Filed under: uncultured bacterium
Lineage: Bacteria
Description: partial 16S ribosomal RNA
Rfam family: Bacterial small subunit ribosomal RNA
Source: RNAcentral